UUGACCUCAGAUCAGGUAG
This 19-nucleotide ribosomal RNA is filed under the name Verruciconidia persicina. Its description in RNAcentral is "Acremonium persicinum partial 28S ribosomal RNA". The record is from RNAcentral. Lineage: Eukaryota; Fungi; Ascomycota; Sordariomycetes; Hypocreales; Bionectriaceae.